GGUUAAGUUAACAAGGGCGCAUGGUGAAUGCCUUGGCACUAGGAGCCGAUGAAGGACGGGACUAACACCGAUAUGCUUCGGGGAGCUGUACGUAAGCUAUGAUCCGGAGAUUUCCGAAUGGGGCAACCCAGCAGUUUUAAUCAACUGUUACCACUAGAUGAAUUCAUAGUCUAGUUGGAGGUAAACGCUGUGAACUGAAACAUCUCAUUAGCAGCAGGAAUAUAAAGAAAUUUCGAUUCCCUAAGUAGCGGCGAGCGAACGGGGAACAGCCCAAACCAAAGUGCUUGCACUUUGGGGUUGUAGGACUGAACAUUUGAGUUACCAAAGAACUUGAUAGUCGAAGGAUUUGGGAAAAUCCGCCAUAGAUGGUGAUAGCCCAGUAGAUUAAAUCAAAUUCUCUCAGUUCAGGAUCCUGAGUACGGCGGAACACGUGAAAUUCCGUCGGAAUCCGGGAGGACCAUCUCCCAAGGCUAAAUACUACCUAGUGACCGAUAGUGAACCAGUACCGUGAGGGAAAGGUGAAAAGCACCCCGGGAGGGGAGUGAAAUAGUUCCUGAAACCAUGUGCCUACAAUAAGUCAGAGCGCGUUAAUGCGUGAUGGCGUGCCUUUUGUAGAAUGAACCGGCGAGUUAUGAUCCCGUGCAAGGUUAAGACUAAAAAGUCGGAGCCGUAGCGAAAGCGAGUCUGAAAUGGGCGAUUUGAGUACGAGGUUAUAGACCCGAAACCAGGUGACCUAUCCAUGUCCAGGUUGAAGGUGCGGUAAAACGCACUGGAGGACCGAACCCGUGUAAGUUGAAAAUUGCUGGGAUGAGGUGUGGAUAGCGGUGAAAUUCCAAACGAACUUGGAGAUAGCUGGUUCUCUCCGAAAUAGCUUUAGGGCUAGCCUCGGAUUAAGGAUCAUGGAGGUAGAGCACUAUUUGGACUAGGGGCCCGUCUUGGGUUACUGAAUUCAGAUAAACUCCGAAUGCCAUUGAUUCAUGUCCGGGAGUCAGACGAUGAGUGAUAAGAUCCACCGUCGAAAGGGGAACAGCCCAGACCAUCAGUUAAGGUCCCUAAAUGUAUGCUAAGUGGAAAAGGAUGUGGAGUUGCAUAGACAACUAGGAUGUUGGCUCAGAAGCAGCCACCAUUUAAAGAGUGCGUAAUAGCUCACUAGUCGAGUGAUCCUGCGCCGAAAAUGUACCGGGGCUAAGCAUACUACCGAAACCAUGGAUGCGACCAUUAGGUCGCGUGAUAGGAGAGCGUUCUAAGGGCGGUGAAGCAAGAUCGUGAGGACUUGUGGAGCGCUUAGAAGUGAGAAUGCCGGUAUGAGUAGCGAAAGAUAGGUGAGAAUCCUAUCCACCGAAUGACUAAGGUUUCCUGGGGAAGGCUCGUCCUCCCAGGGUUAGUCGGGACCUAAGUCGAGGCCGAGAGGCGUAGACGAUGGAUAACAGGUUGAGAUUCCUGUACUAGUUAAGUGCGUUUGAGCAAUGGAGGGACGCAGGAGGCUAAGAUGUGCAUUCUGUUGGAUUAGAAUGUCCAAGCAGUAAGUCUUGUGGAGAGUCAAAUGCUUUUCACUUUAAGGACAAGCUGUGAUGGGGAGCGAAAUUUAGUAGCGAAGCGUCUGAUGUCACACUGCCGAGAAAAGCUUCUAGUGAGUACUUAACUACCCGUACCGCAAACCGACACAGGUAGUCGAGGAGAGAAUCCUAAGGUGGGCGAGUGAACUCUCGUUAAGGAACUCGGCAAAAUGACCCCGUAACUUCGGGAGAAGGGGUGCUGAUCGCAAGAUCAGCCGCAGUGAAUAGGCCCAGGCGACUGUUUAUCAAAAACACAGGUCUCUGCAAAAUCGUAAGAUGACGUAUAGGGGCUGACGCCUGCCCGGUGCUGGAAGGUUAAAAGGAUGGGUUAGCUUCGGCGAAGCUCAGAAUUGAAGCCCCAGUAAACGGCGGCCGUAACUAUAACGGUCCUAAGGUAGCGAAAUUCCUUGUCGGGUAAGUUCCGACCCGCACGAAAGGCGUAACGAUCUGGGCACUGUCUCAACGAGAGACUCGGUGAAAUUAUAUUGUCCGUGAAGAUGCGGACUACCCGCGACAGGACGGAAAGACCCCAUGGAGCUUUACUGUAGCUUGAUAUUGAGUGUUUGUACAGCUUGUACAGGAUAGGUAAGGAGCCAUAGAAACCGGAACGCUAGUUUCGGUGGAGGCGUUGGUGGGAUACUACCCUCGCUGUAUGACCACUCUAACCCGCACCACUAAUCGUGGUGGGAGACAGUGUCAGGUGGGCAGUUUGACUGGGGCGGUCGCCUCCUAAAAAGUAACGGAGGCGCCCAAAGGUUCCCUCAGAAUGGUUGGAAAUCAUUCGCAGAGUGUAAAGGCACAAGGGAGCUUGACUGCGAGACAGACAGGUCGAGCAGGGACGAAAGUCGGGCUUAGUGAUCCGGUGGUACCGUAUGGAAGGGCCAUCGCUCAACGGAUAAAAGCUACCCUGGGGAUAACAGGCUUAUCUCCCCCAAGAGUCCACAUCGACGGGGAGGUUUGGCACCUCGAUGUCGGCUCAUCGCAUCCUGGGGCUGUAGUCGGUCCCAAGGGUUGGGCUGUUCGCCCAUUAAAGCGGUACGCGAGCUGGGUUCAGAACGUCGUGAGACAGUUCGGUCCCUAUCCGUCGCGGGCGUAGGAAAUUUGAGAGGACCUGUCCUUAGUACGAGAGGACCGGGAUGGACAUACCUCUGGUGUACCAGUUGUGCCGCCAGGCGCAUCGCUGGGUAGCUACGUAUGGAUGUGAUAAACGCUGAAAGCAUCUAAGUGUGAAACACACCUCGAGAUGAGAUUUCCCAUUCCUUUAUGGAAGUAAGACCCCUGAAAGAUGAUCAGGUAGAUAGGUUAGAAGUGGCAGUGCGGUGACGCAUGAAGCGGACUAAUACUAAUCGGUCGAGGACUUAACCAA
Molecule: ribosomal RNA, 2922 nt
Filed under: Lactiplantibacillus pentosus
Lineage: Bacteria; Bacillati; Bacillota; Bacilli; Lactobacillales; Lactobacillaceae
Description: 23S ribosomal RNA
Rfam family: Bacterial large subunit ribosomal RNA
Source: RNAcentral